RNAcentral lists this ribosomal RNA (1441 nucleotides) under uncultured bacterium. Its description in RNAcentral is "bacterial SSU rRNA". It matches the Rfam family "Bacterial small subunit ribosomal RNA". The record is from RNAcentral.
GACGAACGCUGGCGGCGUGCUUAACACAUGCAAGUCGAACGGAAAGGCCCUUCGGGGUACUCGAGUGGCGAACGGGUGAGUAACACGUGGGUGAUCUGCCCUGCACUCUGGGAUAAGCCUGGGAAACUGGGUCUAAUACCGGAUAGGACCACACACUUCAUGGUGAGUGGUGCAAAGCUUUUGCGGUGUGGGAUGAGCCCGCGGCCUAUCAGCUUGUUGGUGGGGUAAUGGCCCACCAAGGCGACGACGGGUAGCCGGCCUGAGAGGGUGACCGGCCACACUGGGACUGAGAUACGGCCCAGACUCCUACGGGAGGCAGCAGUGGGGAAUAUUGCACAAUGGGCGCAAGCCUGAUGCAGCGACGCCGCGUGAGGGAUGACGGCCUUCGGGUUGUAAACCUCUUUCAGUAGGGACGAAGCGAAAGUGACGGUACCUACAGAAGAAGGACCGGCCAACUACGUGCCAGCAGCCGCGGUAAUACGUAGGGUCCGAGCGUUGUCCGGAAUUACUGGGCGUAAAGAGCUCGUAGGUGGUUUGUCGCGUUGUUCGUGAAAACUCACAGCUUAACUGUGGGCGUGCGGGCGAUACGGGCAGACUAGAGUACUGCAGGGGAGACUGGAAUUCCUGGUGUAGCGGUGGAAUGCGCAGAUAUCAGGAGGAACACCGGUGGCGAAGGCGGGUCUCUGGGCAGUAACUGACGCUGAGGAGCGAAAGCGUGGGUAGCGAACAGGAUUAGAUACCCUGGUAGUCCACGCCGUAAACGGUGGGUACUAGGUGUGGGUUUCCUUCCUUGGGAUCCGUGCCGUAGCUAACGCAUUAAGUACCCCGCCUGGGGAGUACGGUCGCAAGACUAAAACUCAAAGGAAUUGACGGGGGCCCGCACAAGCGGCGGAGCAUGUGGAUUAAUUCGAUGCAACGCGAAGAACCUUACCUGGGUUUGACAUGCACAGGACGUACCUAGAGAUAGGUAUUCCCUUGUGGCCUGUGUGCAGGUGGUGCAUGGCUGUCGUCAGCUCGUGUCGUGAGAUGUUGGGUUAAGUCCCGCAACGAGCGCAACCCUUGUCCUAUGUUGCCAGCGGGUAAUGCCGGGGACUCGUAGGAGACUGCCGGGGUCAACUCGGAGGAAGGUGGGGAUGACGUCAAGUCAUCAUGCCCCUUAUGUCCAGGGCUUCACACAUGCUACAAUGGCCAGUACAGAGGGCUGCGAAGCCGCAAGGUGGAGCGAAUCCCUUAAAGCUGGUCUCAGUUCGGAUUGGGGUCUGCAACUCGACCCCAUGAAGUCGGAGUCGCUAGUAAUCGCAGAUCAGCAACGCUGCGGUGAAUACGUUCCCGGGCCUUGUACACACCGCCCGUCACGUCAUGAAAGUCGGUAACACCCGAAGCCAGUGGCCUAACCUUUUGGAGGGAGCUGUCGAAGGUGGGAUCGGCGAUUGGGACGAAG